This 734-nucleotide ribosomal RNA is filed under the name Escherichia coli. RNAcentral's name for it is "partial 23S ribosomal RNA". It matches the Rfam family "Bacterial large subunit ribosomal RNA", at positions 1 to 778 of the family's 2925-position model. Lineage: Bacteria; Pseudomonadati; Pseudomonadota; Gammaproteobacteria; Enterobacterales; Enterobacteriaceae. The record is from RNAcentral.
GUUAAGCGACUAAGCGUACACGGUGGAUGCCCUGGCAGUCAGAGGCGAUGAAGGACGUGCUAAUCUGCGAUAAGCGUCGGUAAGGUGAUAUGAACCGUUAUAACCGGCGAUUUCCGAAUGGGGAAACCCAGUGUGUUUCGACACACUAUCAUUAACUGAAUCCAUAGGUUAAUGAGGCGAACCGGGGGAACUGAAACAUCUAAGUACCCCGAGGAAAAGAAAUCAACCGAGAUUCCCCCAGUAGCGGCGAGCGAACGGGGAGCAGCCCAGAGCCUGAAUCAGUGUGUGUGUUAGUGGAAGCGUCUGGAAAGGCGCGCGAUACAGGGUGACAGCCCCGUACACAAAAAUGCACAUGCUGUGAGCUCGAUGAGUAGGGCGGGACACGUGGUAUCCUGUCUGAAUAUGGGGGGACCAUCCUCCAAGGCUAAAUACUCCUGACUGACCGAUAGUGAACCAGUACCGUGAGGGAAAGGCGAAAAGAACCCCGGCGAGGGGAGUGAAAAAGAACCUGAAACCGUGUACGUACAAGCAGUGGGAGCACGCUUAGGCGUGUGACUGCGUACCUUUUGUAUAAUGGGUCAGCGACUUAUAUUCUGUAGCAAGGUUAACCGAAUAGGGGAGCCGAAGGGAAACCGAGUCUUAACUGGGCGUUAAGUUGCAGGGUAUAGACCCGAAACCCGGUGAUCUAGCCAUGGGCAGGUUGAAGGUUGGGUAACACUAACUGGAGGACCGAA